UACAGAGGUCCCGAGCGUUGUUCGGAUUCAUUGGGCGUAAAGGGUGCGUAGGCGGCGGGGAAAGUCUGAUGUGAAAUCCUGGGGCUCAACCCUGGAACUGCAUUGGAUACUUCCUUGCUAGAGUACUGGAGAGGAAACUGGAAUUUACGGUGUAGCAGUGAAAUGCGUAGAGAUCGUAAGGAAGACCAGUGGCGAAGGCGAGUUUCUGGACAGUUCCUGACACUGAGACACGAAGGCCAGGGGAGCAAACGGG
RNAcentral lists this ribosomal RNA (253 nucleotides) under uncultured bacterium. Its description in RNAcentral is "partial 16S ribosomal RNA". It matches the Rfam family "Bacterial small subunit ribosomal RNA", at positions 524 to 776 of the family's 1533-position model. The record is from RNAcentral.